UACGUAGGGCGCAAGCGUUAUCCGGAAUUAUUGGGCGUAAAGAGCUCGUAGGCGGCCUGUUGCGUCCGCUGUGAAAUCCCGGGGCUCAACCCCGGGCCUGCAGUGGAUACGGGCUGGCUGGAGGCAGGCAGGGGAGAACGGAAUUCCUGGUGUAGCGGUGAAAUGCGCAGAUAUCAGGAGGAACACCGGUGGCGAAGGCGGUUCUCUGGGCCUGUUCUGACGCUGAGGAGCGAAAGCGUGGGGAGCGAACAGG
Molecule: ribosomal RNA, 253 nt
Filed under: uncultured bacterium
Lineage: Bacteria
Description: partial 16S ribosomal RNA
Rfam family: Bacterial small subunit ribosomal RNA
Source: RNAcentral